Molecule: non-coding RNA, 20 nt
Filed under: Arabidopsis thaliana (thale cress)
Lineage: Eukaryota; Viridiplantae; Streptophyta; Magnoliopsida; Brassicales; Brassicaceae
Source: RNAcentral
CCAGAGAGGGUGAGAGCCCC